AUCUAGAGAAAAUAAAAUAACUAUGCAUGAUUUGAUGAAUGCCACUUGUACACCAAAAAUACCAUGAAAUUAAUUAAUAAUUUGGGACACUUUUAUAAACCAAAAAUAACACUAUUCAUCCUCAUUUUCAUCCCAAAAGUCGUGUCCUCCAUAGCCAAGGAGUUCCAAGCUUUCAUCUUCAAAUUUUAGCUCUGUUUCUCAACGUAUUGAAUACCCGAUCGCGCAAUCGGUGUUAAAUCAAGCUACACCCAAAUGUUAGCAAAUGAAAGGAAAAAGGAUCGGCGAAAGAAGAAAUGUCGAAUGGAAAGGUUUGGAAAUAACGUCAUCCAGGUAGCAUGCUCAACACUUAAAUGGCCUAAUUCUCUUACGUGUUUUUCCGUGAUUAUUACGUGACUUAUUGUCUAAAUAAUUUAUGAUUAAUUACUUGAUAAAAUAUUCAUGAAGUAAAAUAUAAGAAUAUGAUGGAUUGUUGAUUGAUUUGA
Long non-coding RNA from Salvia splendens (bonfire salvia), 482 nucleotides. RefSeq lists it as uncharacterized. Lineage: Eukaryota; Viridiplantae; Streptophyta; Magnoliopsida; Lamiales; Lamiaceae. The record is from RefSeq and is a predicted model, not a curated record. The transcript has 2 exons.